UACGAAGGGGGCUAGCGUUGUUCGGAAUUACUGGGCGUAAAGCGCACGUAGGCGGCUAUUUAAGUCAGGGGUGAAAUCCCAGAGCUCAACUCUGGAACUGCCUUUGAUACUGGGUAUCUUGAGUAUGGAAGAGGUAAGUGGAAUUCCGAGUGUAGAGGUGAAAUUCGUAGAUAUUCGGAGGAACACCAGUGGCGAAGGCGGCUUACUGGUCCAUUACUGACGCUGAGGUGCGAAAGCGUGGGGAGCAAACAGG
Molecule: ribosomal RNA, 253 nt
Filed under: uncultured bacterium
Lineage: Bacteria
Description: partial 16S ribosomal RNA
Rfam family: Bacterial small subunit ribosomal RNA
Source: RNAcentral